Equus quagga is the source of this 3690-nucleotide long non-coding RNA. RefSeq lists it as uncharacterized. NCBI's taxonomy places the organism in Eukaryota, Metazoa, Chordata, Mammalia, Perissodactyla, Equidae. The transcript has 4 exons. The record is from RefSeq and is a predicted model, not a curated record.
GUCUGGAGGGCUGCGUCUUGCGGGGAGGAAAAGAGCGAGGCAGGGAGUGAGUGAGCGGCAUAGUAUAGCCAGCGUCACUGUCCCUUUCUCUAUCGCUGUGGCGACCAGACAGGCCAGAGGAUCACUUAAAAAGCCGCGCUGAUAUGCCCCGGGGACGAUCUCCUUCGGGCCCUCGGAUUGGUCCCACGAACCCAGACUGGGCCCUCCCAUUGGAUUCUUUUGUUAUUUAUAUUUAAUGAACAUGUCAACUUGCAAGAUUAGUCAUGAAAAUUUUUGUUUGGAAGAGGCUGUUUGUCUGGAAUACGCUUGCCCCGGUAUCUUCAUGGCUUGCUCCCUACCAGAAUGGUACAACCCAGGCUGCAACUUCACCCUUUACCAGCAGAAACUACUCUCUAAUGAAUGAUGUACUCCAGAAUGAAAAUUCCUCAAGUGAAAUGCACGAGAUUAGGUAUACUUGAGGACAAAUAACAAGGAAUGCAUAAGCUGGCCUCAGGAGACAUUUUGGAUCAUCUGGUAAAGGCUUCACCUCAGCAGAUUACAACCAUCUUCUAAAGUCUUAGAGAUAGUCCCCAAGGAACUUGUUGGGAACACAACAAGGUGGUGCCUUAGAGGGAGUGGGGAGGAGGCUUGCAGUUUCACUGCCAGCCCCUUUGUGAGUCAGGGGAGGGCUCUGGCGGAAGAUGUGCAAGUGGGGAAGCCGUGCAGUCUCCUCCAAGGAGAGGGGCCAUCCUCAGAUGGCUGAAGUUCAUGAGCAACCAAGUUGAAAGUCGCCAAAGAAUGUUCAUGUUUUAAUACAUAUAAUAACACGAUAGCCAAUGUUUAUGUAACGUUUUAAAUUUUUUAUAGGACUUUUACACACAACCGUGCUCUUUCAGAAAUAGUAUGGGUUAUGAUGAUAGAUUUGAGUUUGAAUUCUGGUUCAACCUAUUGGCUAUGUGAUCUUAGGUAAGUUACUUAACCUCAGGACCUGUUUUCUCCUCUGUUUUCACCACCUCAGCAGUGGUGCUCUGGUCAAGGUGAUACCCACUUAUGGGAUAAGGAUUGAGUGAGACAAAUCCCUAGUAUGACAUUUGACACAUGGGAAGCACUUGAUUUCCUUUCCUUCUCUAAAUAUGGUUAUUUGCAUCAGUGGACCUCAAACUUCCACGAUAGUUACUUGUUUAUAAAGGUAACAUUGUCUCUUCAUCUAUGUUUCAUGUUACACAGUGGUUCUUAACUCCAGCAAUGGGGGUGGAGGUAGUGAUGUCUAUGUUGUUAAAAAGCACCUGCACCUCUCUACUCCCUCACUGAGAAUCACUGGUCUACACUUUGGUACCCUAAGUAUCUCUCGCUAGUUUCAUAUUUUUGUUUGGUAUUUUUCAUUCAGCUUGAUUUCAGUGAAGUAAGGAUUUGCCUCCAUAGGAGGGCGAUACAUUAAGCUAAUGAAAAAGAUAGUUGAUAAAUUACCUUCUCAUGUGUAGCUAGAUGCCAGGGGGCAUUUUUUUCUUGGGGUGAAGUAUUAAUGGAAAGAAUGGUGGAAAGACUGAGGUUACUCAGGGCCUACUGGAGGGUCAGUUGGGCCAUAUGGGAGAAAAUGGAAAAAAGGGACGGUGAGAGGAACUGAAGACAAUUGUUUUUUUCAUAGAUCCUCAUUUGGUAGUCUGUGACUUGGCUUCUUCUGGAGUACCUACUGCCUCGCAAUAGAAACUGUUCUCUUUAUGCUGUGCCUCUGUCACACUUCCAGUCUCACCUACCCUGGAUAGGAGACCUGGACCCAGUGCUUGAGUCAUAUAUGGCUACCUGAGCCGACUCAUCAAAGUCAUAUUAAGUUCCUUAAGGUCUUGGAAUUUUAUUUGUCAAAAUGUAAAUAGUUCUCCCUAUAAUGAUACGUGAAUAGUUGCAAAUAAAAUUUGGUAACUGCAAAUAUGGAAGGCAAAGAGAAAGGAAAUUGUCUCGGUCUACUAUGACCCGCUCACAGGCUAGAUUAACUUAGCAUCACUUUUGACUUGUUCUAAAGAAGGGCCGUAGGACCAAGUUAUCCAUAAAGUUCUUAUUGGAAGUAUUUAAAGUUUUGGGUAAGGGACCUCAAAAUUGAAAUUACUAAGGAUACUUCUUAAGCCAGGCAGAGAGAUUUGAACUGAAGAGAUAAGACAGAGCUGAAGGUCAAGUUAUGACUUUGAGAAAAGACAGGCGUAUCAUUACCUGGGAGAGCCAUGCCUUUCAAAUAGACACAGAGGCUCCUGUAGUUGUAACUACAGACCUCCCUUCCAGGCUCUGACUUAACUGCUUUGGCCCAGCAGACACCAUCAGUAAACAAACCCUCUUGGGAGUAUCUGCUUGACCCUCUUUUAUAAAAAUAAACUUCCAAGGGCUGCCUGGGCCCCUGUCCUUAUUUUGUCAUCAUCUUCAAGGGAGUCUGGGUACACAGUAAUGAAGAGCAAUAGACAAGACUACGUGUGAUUUUGUGCUAAACUGCAUAUAUAGACAAGAUAAGAGAAUAAAAUCCUGGGGCAUAAGACCACUCAGAGACGGCUUCCUGGGGAAAGAAGAAUUUUUGCUUCAGGGUAGGUAGAAUUUAAAGAAAGACAAGAGAGAGCAUAGCCCAGGUUCUGUUUUAUGUGACUGUUAAUUUUCACUCAUGGCUCCCAUACUGAAACUCAUGGAGAUGAUGGAUGAGAAAGAGGAUAUAAGACAAGGUUAGAAGAAGCAAGGAGCUCAGGCACAUAGUAAGACAGUCUGAAUUAGAGCAGCCAGUUGAACAUGUGGAGACUUCACCGGCUGGAGGGAGAUUGAGAAUUACAAGUUUCAGUAGAACCAAAGCACACCACAUAUACCCUCAGGCAGAAGCCUUAUUAUGCAAUAAUGACCCCGUACACGCCCCAUUUCCCAAUUAACAAUGCACAGAUUGAGGUCACUGUGCACUUAAAACAAAUCUUCAUACAACCUGGGUAGAGCUGGUAGCCAACACUUUACCUUGAAGUUUGAUUUGUGCGUUUCCUCAGAUAUUUAAUACUUCUGAAAUGUUUUAGCCUUUGACAUCUAGAUUUGAGCUUCCCAAAUGUUUGUAGUGUACAUUAUAUUCUGGUCCUUGCACUUCAGCUGAUAUGAUGCAUCUGUUGUCCAAUGCGUCUGCUGUGCGCUCAUGGACAAGGCCAAAGAAUUAAUCUGGGUUGGGAGUGUUUAUGCUUUCACAGUUUGCUUUCUCAGUUUUGUUCAUCAUUGUUCUCUUCUUGUAAAAGGCCUAUUGGGACCAAGCUGGGAAUGCAGCCGAGAACCCCUGGGAAUUUGCCCAUUGGCAAUUAAGUUUUCUAUAGAUUUUAUCCCUGUGCCAAGUACCAGUGUGGUUUUUGGCAAGUUGUAUAACCUGGGGAUAGCCGAUUACCCACACUUCACCCUGAGCCUCUGCGUCUUCAUCUGAAAAGUGAAAGGACUAGGAAAGAUGAUUUUGAGGUUCUUCCACCUCUAAGAUUUGAGAAUUUGAUAAUUCCUGAGUAAUAAAAGUCAGAUUUUUUUGUCACUAGAGCAAUGAGUUUGUCCACUUAUACGUAUGGUCCCACAUUUAUCUGCCUCAAGCUCACUGUCACCACUUAUUUUUCCAGAUGGAGACAUGCAAGGCUGGUAAAGCCUAGUGGAGUUUACUUAAGAAACUAGACCCAGCCACUGGGCCCAUGCUCACCGGCUCCCAUCAUUCACUUCCAUUCAUUUAUCCAU